AGUCGAGCGGACAGAUGGGAGCUUGCUCCCUGAUGUUAGCGGCGGACGGGUGAGUAACACGUGGGUAACCUGCCUGUAAGACUGGGAUAACUCCGGGAAACCGGGGCUAAUACCGGAUGGUUGUUUGAACCGCAUGGUUCAAACAUAAAAGGUGGCUUCGGCUACCACUUACAGAUGGACCCGCGGCGCAUUAGCUAGUUGGUGAGGUAACGGCUCACCAAGGCGACGAUGCGUAGCCGACCUGAGAGGGUGAUCGGCCACACUGGGACUGAGACACGGCCCAGACUCCUACGGGAGGCAGCAGUAGGGAAUCUUCCGCAAUGGACGAAAGUCUGACGGAGCAACGCCGCGUGAGUGAUGAAGGUUUUCGGAUCGUAAAGCUCUGUUGUUAGGGAAGAACAAGUACCGUUCGAAUAGGGCGGUACCUUGACGGUACCUAACCAGAAAGCCACGGCUAACUACGUGCCAGCAGCCGCGGUAAUACGUAGGUGGCAAGCGUUGUCCGGAAUUAUUGGGCGUAAAGGGCUCGCAGGCGGUUUCUUAAGUCUGAUGUGAAAGCCCCCGGCUCAACCGGGGAGGGUCAUUGGAAACUGGGGAACUUGAGUGCAGAAGAGGAGAGUGGAA
RNAcentral lists this ribosomal RNA (624 nucleotides) under Bacillus subtilis subsp. subtilis. Its description in RNAcentral is "bacterial SSU rRNA". It matches the Rfam family "Bacterial small subunit ribosomal RNA", at positions 60 to 666 of the family's 1533-position model. Lineage: Bacteria; Bacillati; Bacillota; Bacilli; Caryophanales; Bacillaceae. The record is from RNAcentral.